CACCCAGAGAAUCUCUCUGCACCACGUAUUCCAGCUGGAGGUGGCGUCAGCAAUUCUGGACUGCUUUUUCUAUCUUUUCAGUGCCUCAUUCAGUGAUGUCAAGUUAAAACCAGAAACGAUGGGUGUUCACCAGAUUUUUGGUUCUUAUGAAGGGACAUGGAUGGAGCUGGAAACACUUAUGCUCAGCAAACUAAUGCAGGAACAGAAAACCAAGAACCACAUAUUCUCACUUAUAAGUGGGAGCUAAACAAUGAGAAAACAUGGACACAUGUGGGGGAACAAAACAUACCGGGGCCUGUUGCAGAAGCAGGCAGGGUGAGGGAGAGCAUCGGGAAGAACAGCUAAUGGAUGCUGGGCUUAAUACCUAGGUGAUGGGUUGAUCUGUGCAGCACAUCACCGUGGCACAUGUUUACCUAUGUCACAAACCUGCACAUCCUGCACCUGUACCCCUGAACUUAAAAGUUGAAGAAGAAAAAAUAAAUUUGCAUAUAGUAAUUUUUAGGAUACACUGUUAGGGUCAAUACAUUUCAUACGGUUUUAACGUAUGGCUCAUCUUACCCUACAAGGAAUAUUGGAAAAUUGUCUGGGGGCAAAAGAGCCUGACCUUUGUGCUGUCAUGUUGACAAGUCUUGUGAGGAAAGCGGCCCUGGAAAGGCACGUGCCUCUGUGCAAAUUACUUUCCAGCAGAGGUAAUUCCCAUAGAGGCUAAUAGUUAAAGGCUUUGUGCCAAGCCUCACUCCA
Long non-coding RNA from Homo sapiens (human), 741 nucleotides. The record is from Ensembl. Lineage: Eukaryota; Metazoa; Chordata; Mammalia; Primates; Hominidae.